AGAUGUGAGGUCGAUCUGGUUGCAACAUCUGUCACCCCACUGAUCGCCAGAGCUGAUUCGGCUGAUCUGGCUGGCUACGCAGGUGUCCCCUACCUCCCUCACUGCUCCAUGUGUGUCCCUCCCAGAGCUGCACACUCAGUUGAAGAGGAGGGCCUUCCCCGAAUAGAGAGGGUCUAGGAGUAGCUGCGCUCCCCUGCUAGAGCCUCCAAACAAGCUCUCCCUAUCUCCCCUCUUGAUUUCUGUCUGUCUCUAUUCAAUAAACAGAAGAAAGUGCACACAGUGUGGAAUGCCAAGUGUGGAAGCUGCUCUCU
Molecule: small nuclear RNA, 311 nt
Filed under: Erinaceus europaeus (western European hedgehog)
Lineage: Eukaryota; Metazoa; Chordata; Mammalia; Eulipotyphla; Erinaceidae
Description: 7SK RNA
Rfam family: 7SK RNA
About the family: 7SK was discovered as an abundant small nuclear RNA in the mid-70s but a possible function has only recently been suggested. Two independent studies have found that 7SK RNA binds the CDK9/cyclin T complex (known as elongation factor P-TEFb).
Source: Rfam by way of RNAcentral